AGAACGAACGCUGGCGGCAUGCCUAAUACAUGCAAGUCGAACGAACUCUUCGGAGUUAGUGGCGCACGGGUGCGUAACGCGUGGGAAUCUGCCCCUUGGUUCGGAAUAACAGUUGGAAACGACUGCUAAUACCGGAUGAUGACGAAAGUCCAAAGAUUUAUCGCCAAGGGAUGAGCCCGCGUAGGAUUAGCUAGUUGGUGAGGUAAAGGCUCACCAAGGCAACGAUCCUUAGCUGGUCUGAGAGGAUAGAUCAAGCCACACUGGGACUGAGACACGGCCCAGACUCCUACGGGAGCAGCAGUAGGAA
Molecule: ribosomal RNA, 307 nt
Filed under: uncultured soil bacterium
Lineage: Bacteria
Description: bacterial SSU rRNA
Rfam family: Bacterial small subunit ribosomal RNA
Source: RNAcentral